Molecule: ribosomal RNA, 790 nt
Filed under: uncultured bacterium
Lineage: Bacteria
Description: bacterial SSU rRNA
Rfam family: Bacterial small subunit ribosomal RNA
Source: RNAcentral
UCGAGCGAGUCUGCCUUGAAGAUCGGAGUGCUUGCACUCUGUGAAACAAGAUACAGGCUAGCGGCGGACGGGUGAGUAACUCGUGGGUAACCUGCCCAAGAGAUCGGGAUAACACCUGGUAACAGAUGCUAAUACCGGAUAACAACAGAUGAUGCCUAUCAACUGUUUAAAAGAUGGCUCUGCUAUCACUCUUGGAUGGACCUGCGGUGCAUUAGCUAGUUGGUAGGGUAACGGCCUACCAAGGCGAUGAUGCAUAGCCGAGUUGAGAGACUGAUCGGCCACAUUGGGACUGAGACACGGCCCAAACUCCUACGGGAGGCAGCAGUAGGGAAUCUUCCACAAUGGACGCAAGUCUGAUGGAGCAACGCCGCGUGAGUGAAGAAGGGUUUCGGCUCGUAAAGCUCUGUUGUUGGUGAAGAAGGACAGGGGUAGUAACUGACCUUUGUUUGACGGUAAUCAAUUAGAAAGUCACGGCUAACUACGUGCCAGCAGCCGCGGUAAUACGUAGGUGGCAAGCGUUGUCCGGAUUUAUUGGGCGUAAAGCGAGUGCAGGCGGCUCGAUAAGUCUGAUGUGAAAGCCUUCGGCUCAACCGGAGAAUUGCAUCAGAAACUGUCGAGCUUGAGUACAGAAGAGGAGAGUGGAACUCCAUGUGUAGCGGUGAAAUGCGUAGAUAUAUGGAAGAACACCGGUGGCGAAGGCGGCUCUCUGGUCUGUUACUGACGCUGAGGCUCGAAAGCAUGGGUAGCGAACAGGAUUAGAUACCCUGGUAGUCCAUGCCGUAAACGAUGA